RNAcentral lists this ribosomal RNA (300 nucleotides) under Phyllodactylus galapagensis (Galapagos leaf-toed gecko). RNAcentral describes it as "partial 12S ribosomal RNA". Lineage: Eukaryota; Metazoa; Chordata; Lepidosauria; Squamata; Phyllodactylidae. The record is from RNAcentral.
ACCUCUCCCCCCCUAGCACCAAAUCAGCCUAUAUACCGCCGUCGCCAGCCUGCCUAGUGAUAGCCUUCCACAGCAGGCAGAACAGCCACCCCGCUAACACGUCAGGUCAAGGUGUAGCCCACGGGGGGGCCAGAGAUGGGCUACAUUUUCUAACCCCUAGAAAACACUACAGGCAACAUGAAAUCUGAGCCACCCGGCGGAUUUAGCAGUAAACUGGGCAAGAAACGCCCAAUUGAAGCAUGCCCUGGGGCGCGUACACACCGCCCGUCACCCUCCUCAACAAACCUUGUCCCCCCCCCC